GAUGAACGCUGGCGGCGUGCCUAAUACAUGCAAGUCGAGCGAACGGACGAGAAGCUUGCUUCUCUGAUGUUAGCGGCGGACGGGUGAGUAACACGUGGAUAACCUACCUAUAAGACUGGGAUAACUUCGGGAAACCGUAGCUAAUACCGGAUAAUAUUUUGAACCGCAUGGUUCAAAAGUGAAAGACGGUCUUGCUGUCACUUAUAGAUGGAUCCGCGCUGCAUUAGCUAGUUGGUAAGGUAACGGCUUACCAAGGCAACGAUGCAUAGCCGACCUGAGAGGGUGAUCGGCCACACUGGAACUGAGACACGGUCCAGACUCCUACGGGAGGCACCAGUAGGGAAUCUUCCGCAAAGGGCGAAAGCCUGACGGAGCAACGCCGCGUGAGUGAUGAAGGUCUUCGGAUCGUAAAACUCUGUUAUUAGGGAAGAACAUAUGUGUAAGUAACUGUGCACAUCUUGACGGUACCUAAUCAGAAAGCCACGGCUAACUACGUG
RNAcentral lists this ribosomal RNA (497 nucleotides) under uncultured bacterium. RNAcentral's name for it is "partial 16S ribosomal RNA". It matches the Rfam family "Bacterial small subunit ribosomal RNA", at positions 28 to 507 of the family's 1533-position model. The record is from RNAcentral.